ACAUUUUUAAAAAUUCACGUCCUGCAUAACAAUUACUUACUGGAACUUAAUAGGCAUAAUGGCUAUCAGGAAGUGACACCAAGGCAUGGGAAGAAUUUUGUAUGUUUAUUAGGUGGCCUUAGCCAAAGCUUUUAUAAUCACACAGACUCACCCAAGGACAGCCCUCUGAUCUCUCAAGGAGAAUGCAAUACAACAUAGACUUUGGCAACUGAAAACCUCAAACCUAAUCCUCGGUGACUUAAGGUUUCUGUUGGUAUUCACAGAAAUGCCUUUGGCUUGUCAAAAUACGAGUUGCAAUAUUUGCUUUAGUAUCUGCUCACCAUCCCAUCCCCUCUCUCUAAACUCGUUCAUUACCAUUAGGAUAUUCUGGGUGGCUGGGAUGGUUCAUGUAAGUGGGGACAAGACUUGCCAA
RNAcentral lists this long non-coding RNA (412 nucleotides) under Pan troglodytes (chimpanzee). Its description in RNAcentral is "long non-coding RNA NONPTRT015761". The record is from RNAcentral. Lineage: Eukaryota; Metazoa; Chordata; Mammalia; Primates; Hominidae.